CACGUAGGGUGCGAGCGUUGUCCGGAAUUAUUGGGCGUAAAGAGCUCGUAGGCGGUGUGUCGCGUCGGCCGUGAAAACUUGCAGCUUAACUGUGGGCGUGCGGUCGAUACGGGCAUCACUGGAGUUCGGCAGGGGAGACUGGAAUUCCUGGUGUAGCGGUGAAAUGCGCAGAUAUCAGGAGGAACACCGGUGGCGAAGGCGGGUCUCUGGGCCGAUACUGACGCUGAGGAGCGAAAGCGUGGGGAGCGAACAGG
Molecule: ribosomal RNA, 254 nt
Filed under: uncultured bacterium
Lineage: Bacteria
Description: partial 16S ribosomal RNA
Rfam family: Bacterial small subunit ribosomal RNA
Source: RNAcentral